UUUGGAAGAGGGAGGCACCCUAUCAUGUGGGCGUCCCUUCUUGUGUGGCCGCUUAAGACUCUAUGCCUAGGGAGUCUCUGAGUCUCCACGCCCAAGAAGCCAUCUGAUCUGAUCAGGGAUCAGAGGAGGACAUGGAAGGAGGCUUCGGAGGUGGGCAUGAGUGGAGGAAGUGCACGAGGUGACGAGCAUGGGCAAAGGCUAUGCAGGUUGCUAUCAGGGUAUGCGCUGGUAGUCUCUGUUGGAUAAGAGAUUUUCUCCCCAUCUGGAUCAGAUUUUAUGCUCUAGUUAAAACAGUAAGGAGGGCUCUAUCAGAUGUGCUUAAUGUCUUGAUAGGUCAUCCAAAGGAGAUCAGGAAGGUGGGAGAUGAGGCACACAAGUUGGAAGCGCGCAGGCUGAAAUUUUUGUCAUGGAGUCCAUGUCGUACAGGGACUCUCCUCAUCCAAGGAAUCUGAUAUAGAUUUAUCUAGAUCUGCUAGUCCUAAGGAUUCACGUCCCUAGUCAUGGUUUCAAGGAUUUUGGGAGUGGAAGAUCAGAUCUGGAGGUACGUCCCAGGUCUCGAGAAGCCGGGGAAAUGCGAACUAGGUCGCUGCUGCAGGAUUUUUGAUGCGCAGCGAUUAGGGCAUGAUGUUUGUUGCCCUUAGAGAGUCUGGAUCGCCAUAGACUCUUGUAGAGGGCUCUGUCAUGGGUCUCUUCAGGUCCAUGCAGGUGCACAGCGAUCUUAACAAGUGAUAUCAGAGCCUGGUGAAGCAUGGAAGCGAGGGAGAAGUCACACAGGAUAAAAUCAGAAAUCUGCUGCAGAAGAUCCUGAGCGUCUCGUAUUCGUGGAGCUGUUUCUUAACGCCCAAGUUUCAGAUAUUUUAGGCAUUAAAAUAGUAAGUUCUCGGGUUAACCAUGUAUCUACUGUUUUAAUUACGGAUCGAUCUAAUCCUGGGAGGAUUAGGAGGAGGUGGCAUCAACAGGAGGUUGUUUGCUGAAAUCUGCACACCUAUUCCAUGGUAUGCGUCGGAUCUAUCUUUAUUUUUGUUGUGGUUUGGCCAAUUGGGAGCAGCGGGUUGAAGAUGGAAGUUGAGAGAAUUGACAGGAAGGGAAGUUUUCUGGGUUGGAAGGUUUGGGUGGUAGGUUUUCUAGUCUAAGUUCGGUUGGACCCGAUUUUAGAGGAAGAAAGAUUGGAGGAUAUGACGGUUAGGCGAUAGGAUUCUUUAGGGAAGAUGGACAGCAAGGGGCUGUUUGAUGGAUGAGGAGUGAUUGGCAGGUUUGGCGGGUGCUGGAGGAGAGGUUCUCCAAGGGAUAAUUAGUCGAGGUGGAGCUGAAGAAGCAACUAUACAGCCUUCGGAUGUAGGAAGGCGGAGAAGUAGUCGGAGUGCAUUCAGUGGUUCGAUUAGAGCGUGGAUUUGUAAAGUCUUGAGGUAAUGGAAAUGGUUGAUCCAUAGAGUGUCGCAGCUGGUUCAAAAAAAGAUCCUUUAGUGGUUUCAUAGGGGUCCACAGAGUGUGGAAGGUCCGAAACGGCAGCUGUGAUGGUGGAGGUUCAGUAAGUUAGUGCUGGGCAGCUGAUCUCGGAUCAGAUUUUAUUUUCUACAAGGGCACCAGGAGUUGCGAUUCAGGUGGAACACUGGCCAGAGGUGCCUUCACAUGUGGAGGAUGGUUUGGCACAGAGCCAAGGGGUGCAGGGAUAGAUGUCUGAUUCCAGCACCAGCGAUGGUGACGCAUUGCAUGGAUUUAUGCGGCAUUGUGGGCACCGUGGAUCGAGGCUCUGGGGAGACCGUAUCAGAUGGGUUUGUUUGCAGCAAUAGAGGAUCUGGAUAUCUAUGAGGAGGCUGUGGUGAGCCUCGGGUUGAGAUAGGUGGGUUUAAGCCCAGGACAAGAUUUGAGCCGUAUUUCCUUCAGGUGAUGCUGAAGCGACGGUUGGUGCAGCGGUAGAAGAGGAUAAAGUGCUAGGGUGGAAUUUUCUAGAUUCAGUCGUUGGAUUUGAAGAGUUGGAUGAGCUCUUGAAUUUCAGAGGUGCCUGCAGGAUGCGGUGUAUCCUAGACGACUUCGGAGGGAUCCGCAGAAUACGGAGGAUUCGAAGGAGCAGCGACGGUGAUCGAGGUGCAGCGGCAGACCCAGCAGGGCAGCAUUGGGUGGUGGCCUCGGGCGACUCAGGUACAGAGGCGACUUCUGUGGCAUCAAAUGGACUUCGGAUUCAGGUGGAGCACCGGAUAGAGGUGGUUUCAUAGGUGGAGAGGGUUUCAGUAGCAGCGAGUGCCAAUUUAGGAAUGCUGCGGUUUUUCUAGAAAAGUCCAGGACGAGUGAUGCAGCUGUCAAGCAGGAGGGAGCCUAUAAAUUCUAAGGUGGUGUCAAAAAACAAACAAGGGUCUUCAGCUGUGGAGGUGGUUAUCCCAAAGGUCUCCAAGGGUGCACAGAAGCUGAAGAAGAUUGGCAUCGAUGAUGGAGGUUUGCACAGGGAGUUGUCAGGAUGUGCAGCGACAGUAGGAUCAUGCAGAUGGAUCGUGCGGAGGUUUGCCAAGACUUGAGGGCACCAUGGUGGAGAUUAUUGGCGCAUGUAUGAUUUUUUCAAGUCUUGGGAGGCCAUGAGAGGAGCCAUGGGCUUGAUUCCAGGAUGCUAGGACCAAUUUGGGUCCUUGGGUGAAGGUUGUCAGCCUUCAGGGUCUUGAGAUUUAGGGGUUUUGGACCUUAAGGGGCUAACUUGUAUUCGGUCGAGUUUGGAUCCAAGGGUAAGAUUAGGUCAAGUCAUGGGUGUGCAUGGGUUUGGAUGAGUUCAAUCUCAUGUGGGUUAGUCAUGGGAGUUUUUAAGCUAGGGUUUAUUAGGGUUCAUGUGGAAAUCCUAGGGUAAACCCAUAUGUUGUAAUAGUUUGUUAAGUGAUCAAUAUACGGAGUUUCUCCUUAACUUCUCCCUUUCUCUUUGAUCUGCAUGCCACCCUAGGCAGUAAGGGGUGCCCCCCUUAAGCCCUAGCUGUCCUAGGGUUUGGAAGAGGGAGGCGCCCCAUCAUGUGGGCGCCCCUCUUUGUGUGGCCGCCUAAGACUCCAUGCCCAGGGAGUCUCCAUGCCCAAGAAGCCAUCUGAUCUGAUCAGGGAUCAUAGGAGGAUGUGGAAGGAGGCUUCGGAGGUGGGCAUGAGUGGAGGAAGUGCACGAGGUGACGAGCACGGGCAAAGGUUGCACAGGUUGCUGUCACCCUGUCAGGGUGUGCGCUGGUAGUCCCUGUUGGACAAGGAAUUUUCUCCCCACUUAGAUCGGAUUUUAUGCUCUGGUUAAAACAGUAAGGAGGGCUUUAUCAGAUGUCCUAAUGUCUUGAUAGAUCAUCCAAAAGAGAUUAGAAAGGUGAGAGAUGAGGCACACAAGUUGGAAGCGUGCAGGUUGAAAUUUCUGUCAUGGAGUCUCUGUUGUACAGGGAUUCCUCAUCUAAGGAAUCUGGUCCCGAUUCAUUCAGAUCUGCUAGCCCCAAGGAUUCACGUCCCUAGCUCUGGUUCCAAGAGUCUUGGGAGUGGAAAAUCAGAUCUGAAGGUGUGUCUCAGGUCUUGGGAAGUGGAGGAGACGCGAACUAGGUCGUUGUUGCAGGGUUCUUGAUGCGCAGUGAUCUAGGACAUGGUGUUUGCUACCUUAAGAAAGUCUGGAUCACCAUGGACUCUUGUAGAGGGCUUCGUCGUGGGUCUUCUUAGGUCCACGCAGGUGCACGGCGGUCUUAACAGUCUCAACACCUCGAAGUGAUCAGACCGAGUCAACUCUUGCCAACUAGAUGGUCAAGCAG
RNAcentral lists this long non-coding RNA (3743 nucleotides) under Elaeis guineensis (African oil palm). Its description in RNAcentral is "long non-coding RNA (EGUI_LNC050539)". The record is from RNAcentral. Lineage: Eukaryota; Viridiplantae; Streptophyta; Magnoliopsida; Arecales; Arecaceae.